ACCACCUGAUCCCUUACCGAACUCAGUCGUGAAACGCGUCAUCGCCGAUGGUAGUGUGGGGUUUCCCCAUGUGAGAGUAGGUCAUUGCCAG
RNAcentral lists this ribosomal RNA (91 nucleotides) under Marinobacterium sp. xm-d-530. Lineage: Bacteria; Pseudomonadati; Pseudomonadota; Gammaproteobacteria; Oceanospirillales; Oceanospirillaceae. The record is from RNAcentral.